This 391-nucleotide ribosomal RNA is filed under the name uncultured Diversispora. Its description in RNAcentral is "SSU rRNA". It matches the Rfam family "Eukaryotic small subunit ribosomal RNA", at positions 569 to 962 of the family's 1831-position model. The record is from RNAcentral. Lineage: Eukaryota; Fungi; Glomeromycota; Glomeromycetes; Diversisporales; Diversisporaceae.
AGCAGCCGCGGUAAUUCCAGCUCCAAUAGCGUAUAUUAAAGUUGUUGCAGUUAAAAAGCUCGUAGUUGAACUUCGGGAUUUGCCCAUUGGUCGGGCUUAACUGUCUGCACUGGUGUGACGAGUUCCUACCUUCUGAGGAAUCUCCAUGUCGUUCAGUUGGUGUGGGGGGAAAUCAGGACUGUUACUUUGAAAAAAUUAGAGUGUUUAAAGCAGGCGUCCGUCUGAAUACAUUAGCAUGGAAUAAUAAAAUAGGACGGUUUGGUUCUAUUUUGUUGGUUUCUAGGAUCACCGUAAUGAUUAAUAGGGAUAGUUGGGGGCAUUAGUAUUCAAUUGUCAGAGGUGAAAUUCUUGGAUUUAUUGAAGACUAACUACUGCGAAAGCAUUUACCAAG